GCCUGGGUGGCUCAGUGGGUUAAGCGUCUGACUUCGGCUCAGGUCAUGAUCUCAUGGUUUGUGAGUUCGAGCCCCGCAUCGGGCU
Molecule: transfer RNA, 85 nt
Filed under: Felis catus (domestic cat)
Lineage: Eukaryota; Metazoa; Chordata; Mammalia; Carnivora; Felidae
Also listed under: 1 other name
Rfam family: tRNA
About the family: Transfer RNA (tRNA) molecules are approximately 80 nucleotides in length.
Source: Rfam by way of RNAcentral